CCUACUUCCGGUAGAGCACGUGAUUGCCACGUGCCCGCGCGUGCCAGUAAUUUUACUGACCUCAAGGGCACACAACACACAGUUGUGAACAUUGUUUGAGUCCACAUUAGUUUGAGUUCUUUAGAAGACUCACUGAAGCAGCAACAACAAGCUUUAUUUCUUGCCUUUGAAUUGGGAUUCAUGUGGAUUUAGUGUAAUUCAUGCAGUAGAAKUUGAAAUGUAUGGAUAAUUCGCAUGUAAAGGAAAUAAAUUCGUCAACUCAGUGAAAUAUGGUCUGAAAUUGCCCAUCACCUAGUUUAUGGAAACUACAGUUGUUUUUGGUGCAAGUGCACCACUAAAUGCUCAUGGAAAUGACUCAACAUUAGUAAUUGACAAUGAAGAAAAGCUGGUGACAAAUAAAAAAACAAGAAAGAAAGAGGAGGCGGAGGAUCAGGAGAAGGCAAAAUGAAGAAGAAAGGGAGAAAAUGUGAGCUCAAUGUAUUAAAGACUUUAACUAAAGAUUGACCCCAGCAAGCAAGUAUUUUUGGCAAGAAGUAUAGAUAUAUGUAAAUAAGUAAAUAAUAAUAUGUAAAUAUGCAAAAAAUGCAGACAAUAUAUCCAUGAAACAGUUCUAUAUAGUUAGCACUAAAUAGCAGUAUAAAAACACUAGUAGAGUGCAUUCAGUAAACCCGUGAAAUACGCGUAGUUAUUUAGCCGUACAUGCCUGUAACUAAUGCUACUUACGGUUACGCGUAUAUUUCACGGGUUUACUGACUGCACUCUGGAAAACACUGAAUAUUGUUUGCACUAUCCUUUCACUUCGAUUAAAACUUGCUUUUUACAUGUGGUUAAAUAAAAUAUUUAAGCAAAGUUA
This is a long non-coding RNA of Actinia tenebrosa (Australian red waratah sea anemone), 853 nucleotides long. NCBI's taxonomy places the organism in Eukaryota, Metazoa, Cnidaria, Anthozoa, Actiniaria, Actiniidae. The record is from RefSeq and is a predicted model, not a curated record.